This 207-nucleotide long non-coding RNA is filed under the name Elaeis guineensis (African oil palm). Its description in RNAcentral is "long non-coding RNA (EGUI_LNC022748)". Lineage: Eukaryota; Viridiplantae; Streptophyta; Magnoliopsida; Arecales; Arecaceae. The record is from RNAcentral.
AUGAGAUCUUGUGGAUACGGGUUGAGAACCUAAUGGCCACAGUGGCUUUGCUCCUAGACUCCUACAAAUCAACACAACAACAGAUGGAGGAAAUAAUUUUUGACAUCAGGUUGAUCAAAUCUAGAAUGCAGAACAUUUCUGUGGGGAAGCUUAUGUCAAAAUGAAAGUUCCAAAUCCAAAACCGUUCAAAGAUACUCAAAGCGCCAA